CUUUAAGGCCACAGGAUGACAUAUGAGUAAUCGUAUUAUCAAGUGCCCAUACAUCUUCGACAUUAAAUGUAGUCUGCACUCCGCUAUACUCGGUAACGCCGUGAGCUGCCGGG
RNAcentral lists this ribosomal RNA (113 nucleotides) under uncultured eukaryote. Its description in RNAcentral is "partial small subunit ribosomal RNA". The record is from RNAcentral.